GAUGAACGCUGGCGGCGUGCCUAAUACAUGCAAGUCGAGCGAACAGACGAGGAGCUUGCUCCUCUGACGUUAGCGGCGGACGGGUGAGUAACACGUGGAUAACCUACCUAUAAGACUGGGAUAACUUCGGGAAACCGGAGCUAAUACCGGAUAAUAUAUUGAACCGCAUGGUUCAAUAGUGAAAGACGGCUUUGCUGUCACUUAUAGAUGGAUCCGCGCCGCAUUAGCUAGUUGGUAAGGUAACGGCUUACCAAGGCAACGAUGCGUAGCCGACCUGAGAGGGUGAUCGGUCACACUGGAACUGAGACACGGUUCAGACUCCUACGGGAGGGAGAAGUAGGGAAUCUUCCGCAAUGGGCGAAAGCCUGACGGAGCAACGCCGCGUGAGUGAUGAAGGUCUUCGGAUCGUAAAACUCUGUUAUUAGGGAAGAACAAAUGUGUAAGUAACUAUGCACGUCUUGACGGUACCUAAUCAGAAAGCCACGGCUAACUACGUG
Molecule: ribosomal RNA, 497 nt
Filed under: uncultured bacterium
Lineage: Bacteria
Description: partial 16S ribosomal RNA
Rfam family: Bacterial small subunit ribosomal RNA
Source: RNAcentral